GGGUGAUUAGCUCAGCUGGGAGAGCACCUCUCUUACAAGGAGGGGGUCGGCGGUUCGAUCCCGUCAUCACCCACCA
This 76-nucleotide transfer RNA is filed under the name Escherichia coli. Its description in RNAcentral is "tRNA-Val". It matches the Rfam family "tRNA". Rfam says of the family: Transfer RNA (tRNA) molecules are approximately 80 nucleotides in length. Their secondary structure includes four short double-helical elements and three loops (D, anti-codon, and T loops). RNAcentral also lists the same sequence under 13 other names. The record is from RNAcentral. Lineage: Bacteria; Pseudomonadati; Pseudomonadota; Gammaproteobacteria; Enterobacterales; Enterobacteriaceae.